AAAAACUGAGCCCUGUAGUGUUUGUCUCUGCAUAUUAGACUGUAUAUAGAGGAAAGGAUUUUUCCAUCAGCACAUGACCUUUAAAAAUGAGUCAAUUUUUGCAUGUUAAUAUCAAUUACAAUAGCAAUAACAAUGUGCAAUUACAAGCUACUCUAGUAAUUGCAUAUUAGGUCAUUCAUUUGUAUUACCGAGGACUUAAUUACGUAAUUAGAUAUUAUGUAAAGUGUAAACCUUUCUGAUGCCUACAGAUGAAUUUAUCAAGUAUUCUCAACUACCUUCCAAAAUAUAAAUACUAAUAAUAAUCUGAUAAGAACACAAGUGUUAUAUAAUGCAGGUUUUUAAGUGAUGAGGUACUACUUAAAAUGCUAUUAUAUACCCUGAGCUUAAUGGUUUUUCCUGAUGGCAUGCAUUCCUCUUGGGAUUCUUGGAAAGCGUGGAGCUUUGUCCCAGGAGGAAGUCUUUGAAUGUGAGAACGGGGAUAAAAGUCUCGAAUCCUUGAGUCUGCGGAAGCCGACAACAAUAACAACAACAGCAGCAGCCUUCAAUGAUUCACAUUUGUGCUAUUGUCAUGUAUAUGUCAUCACAAGGAGUUAAACAAGAAAUCUAGGCAAAGGCUACAUUUUUUAUUGGCCUGAGACAAGAUUGCUGGCUUGGGAAAGAAAAAGGUUGCCUUAAAGAGAUAUUUCACCCAAAAAUGAAAAUUAUGUCAUCAUUUAUUCCCCUACAUGUCAUUCCAAACACAUAAUAUUUUUUUUUUUUCUGUGAGAAACUAGAUGUUUUGCAGAAUGUUCAUACUACCUUAAAAGGAUAGUUCACCCAAAAAUUAAAAUUGUGUCAUUAAUUAGUCACCCUUAUGGCGUUCCAAACCCAUAAGACCUUUGUUCAUAGCUAUAGAAACACAAAUUAAGAUAUUUUUGAUUAAAUCCGAAAUCUUUCUCACCCUUCACAGACAGUAAUGCAACUGACAUGUUCAAGGCCCAGAAAGGUCAUCUUUGAAAUAAUCGUCACAUCAGUGGUUUAACCUCAAUGUUAUAAAGCAACGAGAAGACUUUUUGUGCACAAAGAAAACAAAAAUAACAGCUUCAUUCAACAAUUUCUUCUCUUCCGCGAAAGACUUCAACACGCG
This is a long non-coding RNA of Cyprinus carpio carpio, 1126 nucleotides long. The record is from Ensembl. NCBI's taxonomy places the organism in Eukaryota, Metazoa, Chordata, Actinopteri, Cypriniformes, Cyprinidae.